CCGCACCUCAGGCUCGCGCUGAAGGAGUGGAACCUCGCGCUGCUGCUCCUCCAGGCUCCCGCCGACCGGCGCUCCCUCCCCGCCGAGGCUUCCUGCAGCAUCGACAGCAUCGUCUCUCCCUCCAUCUUCCUCCGUAUCUAUAAAAUCCUGAGAGGCACGGAAGGCGUAUUCAAGACCAACGGAUUUUCCUUGUCUAAUUGGUUAAAGAAAAGAUCCGAAGGCUGUUAGAACGAAUCAAUGAAUCCCAAUUCAAAUGGCGGGUAGCACAGUGACACAGCGAUAGAGCUGCUGCCUUACAGCGCCAGACGCCCGGGUUCGAUCGUGUUAACAGAUCACAUGAAUGGUUGAUUCUGAAAACCUCCAGCCCAAAUGGGGGAAGUAAAGCUCUUUAGUGAAUUAAAUGCCAACAGACUCAUAGAUGAGUUGAUCUGACAUGGUAUAACCCCAAUUCUAUCCUAGCUGUCAGUUAUCUCAUUUUAAAAGCGCUCUGCUAAAAUGUUUAAAGAAAAUUCACAUGAAUUGGCAAACUUAAUAAUAAUCUUGUUUCAGUUUUCACAGUGGAAAAGAAGAUGCACCUAGUAUUUAGUGGCCUAGCUCAUACUGAAGUUAUUGUAGGUAAGAAAAUGACAUUAUUUAAAAAAAAUAAUGUAAUUCAUUCUCCAGGACCUGUGGGUUUCCACAAUGGUGUUUUAAAGAGAAUGGUUCAUGGAUUUCCAUUGAUGUACAGUGUUAGAGCAGAUAAUUCAGCCCAACCAGCCAUUAAUCCUACCAGGUGGCGAUGGACGGACAGAAGGAAAGAAAGAUUAAUGCCAGUGAGUGGACUGGGUUCUUGUCUCUUGCACCCUCAGAUGUGCUUUGAAUUGUCUGCGGGAGGGGUUCUGGGGGAGUGGACCUGAGCAAUGGCCAUCGGAGACGAGAAGGAUGGCGAGUUUCUGGACUACAUUAGAUCGGGCGCCGCUCUGUGACCAAGAACGUCGAACGGGCGCCUCCUGCAGCAGCAUGGAAUUGUGGAGCAGCUGAAGAGGCACAUCACCUGAUCAAGCCGAUCCCCGCAACACUAACCCAGUGCCGCUGUCAGGACUAACAAGCCUUUAUGGCUAGGUUAAGACUUGGUUUUUAAACUUCAGACCUGAAGGGCUCAAGAUGGUGCCUAAAAUGUGGUGACUCUUAUGUACUGACUCCAGUUUGUUCUAUUAUCUUGCAGUCUAAAACUUGGUAUGAUUUUGCCUAAUGUAUGGUCACUGAAUUGUAUAUAUUUUUUAAAUCACUGUACUCGGGUAUGUGAUAAUAAAGUGCCAUUGAACCAC
This is a long non-coding RNA of Leucoraja erinaceus (little skate), 1307 nucleotides long. RefSeq lists it as uncharacterized. The transcript is spliced from 3 exons. The record is from RefSeq and is a predicted model, not a curated record. Lineage: Eukaryota; Metazoa; Chordata; Chondrichthyes; Rajiformes; Rajidae.